GAUGAACGCUGGCGGCGUGCCUAAUACAUGCAAGUCGAGCGGACGGACGCUAAGCUUGCUUCGCUGAUGUUAGCCGCGGGCGGGUGUGUAACGCGUGUAUCCCCUACCUGUAAGUCUGAUAACACUACGGGAAACCGGCGCUAAUACCGGAGAAGCUUCUGAACCGCGUGGGUCGAUAGUGAGUGACGGCGUUGGUGGCUGGAAUAGCUGGUUACGGGCUGCAUUGGGUGGUAGGUAAGGUCACGGCUUACCAAGGGUACGAUGCGUAACCGAACUGAGGGGGUGAUCGGCCACACUGGAACUGGGACACGGUCCAGACUCCUACGGGAGGCAGCAGUAGGGAAUCUGCCGCAAUGGGCGAAAGCCUGACGGAGCAACGCCGCGUGAGUGAUGAAGGUCUUCGGAUCGUAAAACUCUGUUAUUAGGGAAGAACAGAUGUGUACGUAACUGUGCACAGCUUGACGGUACCGAGUAAGAAAGCACCGGCUAACUACGUG
Molecule: ribosomal RNA, 497 nt
Filed under: uncultured bacterium
Lineage: Bacteria
Description: partial 16S ribosomal RNA
Rfam family: Bacterial small subunit ribosomal RNA
Source: RNAcentral